UAAAGAUCCCCAUCUCAUGUUAAAUUGGUCUAGCUAGGGAUCGGGGAAGUCUGGUGUGAAUCCAGGGCUGUGCCGCAACUGUGAUGGAGCUAUUGCUUCGAGUCAGAAUACCGUACCUGAGCGUACCGAUUGC
Chamaesiphon minutus PCC 6605 is the source of this 133-nucleotide non-coding RNA. NCBI's taxonomy places the organism in Bacteria, Bacillati, Cyanobacteriota, Cyanophyceae, Gomontiellales, Chamaesiphonaceae. The record is from Rfam.